Molecule: ribosomal RNA, 253 nt
Filed under: uncultured bacterium
Lineage: Bacteria
Description: partial 16S ribosomal RNA
Rfam family: Bacterial small subunit ribosomal RNA
Source: RNAcentral
UACGUAGGGGGCGAGCGUUGUCCGGAUUUAUUGGGCGUAAAGAGCUCGUAGGCGGUUUGUCGCGUCUGCUGUGAAAACGCGAGGCUUAACCUCGCGCCUGCAGUGGGUACGGGCAGACUAGAGUGCGGUAGGGGAGACUGGAAUUCCUGGUGUAGCGGUGGAAUGCGCAGAUAUCAGGAGGAACACCGGUGGCGAAGGCGGGUCUCUGGGCCGUUACUGACGCUGAGGAGCGAAAGCAUGGGGAGCGAACAGG